This is a long non-coding RNA of Sebastes umbrosus (honeycomb rockfish), 584 nucleotides long. RefSeq lists it as uncharacterized. The record is from RefSeq and is a predicted model, not a curated record. Lineage: Eukaryota; Metazoa; Chordata; Actinopteri; Perciformes; Sebastidae. The transcript is spliced from 3 exons.
AAUUCUCCAUCUUUAUCAGUGCGCGGUGAGAUGGAGGCUAAAGAAACAUCUCCAGGCACUGACAAAGAUGGAGAAUUGAUGGCUCUGGCGCGGUGGAGUUCACCCAUGCAUAAAUCUGUUUGUCAUACUCAGCUUCUCCCCUUGGGUUUAAUAUUGUCCAUCAGUUGUUUACCACUGUGUUGCUUCCAAAGGGGAAACCAAUUGUGCUUCCUUGACUGUUCUGUCCGCCGGAGUUUUACACUGGUGUCAGACAAUACGUCAGUGGAAUGUAUAUUUUAUCUUGCACCCAAAAUCACCGGCUUAAACAUCAUACUGAUCCGGCUAAUUCUGUUUUGGGGAAUGUUGAUAUAGUGUAAUUGCUAUUUUAAAGUGGGUCUAUUCAAGACACGUACUUCCUCAUCAUUUGUACAAAUAAAACCAUGGCCACAGCCACAUGAAUAUUUUUUCUGGUGAAAUUAUAGAAAGUAAUGGUGCCAUAACUUUGCGUAAAAAAAAAAAAAAAACCUAUGUGAACCUGAGAUAUGUGUGGAAUUUGCUUUAUGAAUUCAUCUACAGAGGGGAUCAAUAAAAAGUUUUAUAAUCUU